AAAUUCUAGAAAUUCACAAAAACUUAUAGAAAUUCAGAAACAAUUCUAGAAAUUCAGAAACAAUUCUAGAAAUUCAGAAAAAUUCUAGAAAUUCAGAA
Molecule: non-coding RNA, 98 nt
Organism: Caenorhabditis elegans
Lineage: Eukaryota; Metazoa; Nematoda; Chromadorea; Rhabditida; Rhabditidae
Source: Ensembl